Long non-coding RNA from Cygnus olor (mute swan), 1172 nucleotides. RefSeq lists it as uncharacterized. The record is from RefSeq and is a predicted model, not a curated record. The transcript is spliced from 6 exons. Lineage: Eukaryota; Metazoa; Chordata; Aves; Anseriformes; Anatidae.
GAAGAGUCUAAAGAAAAGAUUUUGGAACAAAUUGGAUGAAAUCAACAGGACCUAAUUGUGAGGAUCGGAUGAUAUUUUUCCAGAUAGAAUUCAGACCUGAAAUUGCUGAAGUUUAGCUUUGGUAACAGGUACAAAGGGUGACUAGUGCGGUGAUCAGAGAAAAGGAUGACUGUCUGAAAAGAAGCUGGGCCUGGCAAAGCAGAGGUUGAGAGCAGAUACAAUUGCUGUCUAUAAAUAUAUGAUGAGAAGAAAAAAUGGAUGAUUCUGGGCCAGAUCCUUAGAUGGAUGACACCUCUGAUUACCUCCUAUAGGGAAGUAAUUGGAAGUACUGGGAGGCUGCAAGCUUGUUCUUAUCACCUGGGAUGGCUUGGCAUCAAAUUGUGCCUCCAAAAAAGAGCAACUUGCAACUGGCAUGGCCUGCUGUUUAUAUAUUGUAAUUUAUGAAUGAAAUAGUACAUCUGGUGCCACCGUAUUGUCCAGAACCUCAUGAAGUGCCCCUGCCCAGAAGAAACAUCAGGCUCCAUCUCAGCAAGGGAACAGAGCCAAAAUAAACUGAAUAAUAAAUGAAGAUUUGGUGCAUCUUCUUGAAGAAUAUGAGAUUUUAAAAAGAUCAAGUUAAAGCACAAGAAAGAUUAAGACUGGGUUGCUGCUUUGUUUGUUUGUUUUUGUGAUGACGGCUUGAACUGACCUAAAUGGGAUUCAGAGGUCUUUGAAAUAUUGAUAUCAUCAUAUCUUCAGAUAUUGAUAUUACUUUUUAUUUUUUUAGGAAAAGUUCUCAAUAUCCUUUGCUAAGUAAUGCAAAUCUAGCAAGAAUGCACAGCGAGGACUUUAGCAUUGGCUUUUUUACUUAGUAUGCAUAGUUUCCUAGGAAAAUAUUUAUUUUUAUAUUUUCUAUAUGAGAGGCAUGAUGGAUUUUUCUCCUUUCUUUGAUACUGGAGAGCAAACGCUCAUAUUUUACUUCAAAGUGGUUUAUAUGGGCAUACCAAAACAAAUGAGAGUUUUCUUGACUCAUCUAGGGUGGGAAAAAGCUUUUUAUUAAGCUUAAAUAUUUUUGUGUUGACAGUUUCAAAAAAAACAUAAUAUUUUUUAUUUCAGAAGUCCUGUUCAUUGGUGGGUGAUUAGCUCAUCAAGUAGGCCUUUCAUUCAGGUGGGAGAACCAGAAAAGACUCAAA